This 497-nucleotide ribosomal RNA is filed under the name uncultured bacterium. RNAcentral's name for it is "partial 16S ribosomal RNA". It matches the Rfam family "Bacterial small subunit ribosomal RNA", at positions 28 to 507 of the family's 1533-position model. The record is from RNAcentral.
GAUGAACGCUGGCGGCGUGCCUAAUACAUGCAAGUCGAGCGAACAGACGCGUUGCUUUCUGCUCUGACGUUAGCGGUGGACGGGUGAGUAACACGUGGAUAAUCUCCUUAUCACACUUUCUUAACUUCGGGAUGCCGGAGUUAAUACCACGUAAUAUUUUGAAUCUCAUGGUUCAUUAGUGUGAGACGGUUUUUCUUUCACUUAUGGAUGGAUCCGCGCCGUAUCAGCUAGUUGGUCAGGUGAGGGCCUACCAAGGCAACGAUGCGUAGCCGGCCUGAGAGGGAGAGCGGCCACACUGGAAGGGAGAGAGGGACCAGACACAUAAGGGAGGGAGGAGUAGGGAAGCAUCAGCAAAGGGCGAAAGCCUGACGGAGCAAGGGCGCGUGAGUGAUGAAGGUAUGCGGAUCGUAAAACACUGUUAUUAGGGAAGAACAAAGGUGUAAGUAACUAGGCAGGGCGUGAAGGUAACUAAGAAGAAAGCCACGGCUAAAUAAGUG